This 1349-nucleotide ribosomal RNA is filed under the name uncultured bacterium. RNAcentral's name for it is "bacterial SSU rRNA". It matches the Rfam family "Bacterial small subunit ribosomal RNA", at positions 34 to 1388 of the family's 1533-position model. The record is from RNAcentral.
CGCUGGCGGCAUGCCUAAUACAUGCAAGUCGAACGAGGGUCCUUCGGGACUCGAGUGGCGAACGGGUGAGUAACACGUAGGGAACCUGCCCGUGCGACCGGGAGAACUUUCGGAAACGGAAGCUGAUACCGGAUAGGGACAGAGACGGCAUCGACUCUGUGUUAAAGGAGCUGAAAGGCUCCGCGCACGGAUGGACCUGCGGUGCAUUAGCUAGUUGGUGAGGUAACGGCCCACCAAGGCGACGAUGCAUAGCCGGCCUGAGAGGGCGGACGGCCACACUGGGACUGAGACACGGCCCAGACUCCUACGGGAGGCAGCAGUAGGGAAUUUUCGUCAAUGGGCGCAAGCCUGAACGAGCAAUGCCGCGUGAACGAGGAAGGUCUUCGGAUCGUAAAGUUCUGUUGAAGGGGAAAAAGAGCGGAGAGAGGAAAUGAACUCCGAUUGAUAUUACCCUUCGAGGAAGUCACGGCUAACUACGUGCCAGCAGCCGCGGUAAUACGUAGGUGGCGAGCGUUAUCCGGAAUGAUUGGGCGUAAAGGGUGCGUAGGCGGCCUGCUAAGUCUGGAGUGAAAGGUACCGGCUCAACCGGUACAGGCUCUGGAAACUGGCGGGCUAGAGAGCAGGAGAGGGCGGUGGAACUCCAUGUGUAGCGGUAAAAUGCGUAGAUAUAUGGAAGAACACCAGUGGCGAAGGCGGCCGCCUGGCCUGUUACUGACGCUGAGGCACGAAAGCGUGGGGAGCAAAUAGGAUUAGAUACCCUAGUAGUCCACGCCGUAAACGAUGAGGACCAAGUGUUGGGGAAGACCCAGUGCUGCAGUUAACGCAGUGAUCCUCCGCCUGGGGAGUAUGCACGCUAAGUGUGAAACUCAAAGGAAUUGACGGGGGCCCGCACAAGCGGUGGAGUAUGUGGUUUAAUUUCGAAGCAACGUGAAGAACCUUACCAGGCCUUGACAUAGGGUGCGAAGCUAUGGAGACAUAGUGGAGGUAAACAUCCAUACAGGUGGUGCAUGGUUGUCGUCAGCUCGUGUCGUGAGAUGUUCAGUUAAGUCUGGCAACGAGCGCAACCCUCGUGAUGUGUUACCAAUAUCGAGUUAGGGACUCACAUCAGACUGCCGGUGAGAAACCGGAGGAAGGCGGGGAUGACGUCAAAUCAUCAUGCCCCUUAUGGCCUGGGCUACACACGUACUACAAUGGCGGCGACAGAGGGCAGCGAGCCUGCGAAGGCAAGCGAAUCCCCAAAAAGCCGUCCCAGUUCGGAUUGGAGUCUGCAACCCGACUCCAUGAAGUUGGAAUCGCUAGUAAUCGCGGAUCAGCAUGCCGCGGUGAAUACGUUCUCGGGCCUUGUACAC